This 1171-nucleotide unclassified non-coding RNA is filed under the name Hevea brasiliensis (rubber tree). Lineage: Eukaryota; Viridiplantae; Streptophyta; Magnoliopsida; Malpighiales; Euphorbiaceae. The record is from RNAcentral.
CCCCCAAAACCAAAAAAAAAAAAAGUCAGAUCACAUAUAUAAAUUCUGGGAAUGUAAUUUGUGACUACCCAAAAUAAUUUACAUAAGUUAGUGAGUAGAUACACUGACAAUUUCCUAUGUUGAAAGUUGAAAGCCUAAAAAUAGUUAUGGUUACUGCAUUAGUUGAUUGCAAUUAAAGAGAUAUCGUAAUACUCGUAGGCUUUGUUUGUAAUAAAUCAUUAAAAAAAUAAAAUAAAUUCUUACACAAUCAUAAUUGAUUUCUAUUUCUUUAAAAAUGAAAUUUUUCUAAGUUAAAAAGAAUUGAAUUCUUUCAUUCCAAAUAUGGGAAUUGAUAAAAAAGAAAUCAAUCAAAUUGAAUUCUUGUAAAGUUCUAGUUUUCAAAGAUGGGAACACUGACGGCGUUAAGCCACAUCAUCAGAUCACUAACAAAUUCUACAUAAUUAUUGUCUGUAUGCAAGCCUAUGAUAAUUUAAAUGCUCUCGUCUUCUCAUUUACAAUUUAGAAUCAGAGAGUAUCAAUCCAAAAAGCAUAGUGUUCUUCCACUGAAUUUAUAAAACUCAAAAUACCCAACACAAAACACACUAUGUUUUCAAGUCCUACAGCUCCCCAACCCAUUCAUAAUAUAAAGAAACCAAGUUAUUCAAUGUUCCCACAAUAAGGAUGUAAGCCUGCUAAAACCAAGUAAAAUAGCAAAUAAUGCCAAGUCUAAACACCAAAAGGAACAUGACCAACCCACUAUGAAUAUCUUCUUUAAAAUAAUUAUUCAAAUCGCUCAAAUCAAACAUUCAGCAUCUAAUUAAAAGGGAAAAAAAAAAUCCAAAUUCGUACUAGAAGCAAAACUGAGAUUAGACAAAAAGAAAAAGAAAGGGAAUUGACAAAAUAACUGUGAAUCAAUACGAUAAGAAAAAAAAAACCAAAAAAUUGCAUUUCACCAGAGAAAAAUGCCUGCAGGGCCUGAACUUAAAAGAGCCAAGUGGAAGGAGAGCAGGAGAGCAGGAGAAUGAGAAGGAAAGAGCUGAUGGCGACUUUGAAGAGGUGGAGAUGAGAUUGUGGUUGAUUGAAGAAUCAUUUUUCUUCUGAAUUGGUAUGUGAGUAAGCGGAGUGGCUUCUUCAGUCAAGCUGAUAGUGUACUGUUUCUGGGAAUUUUGAGGGCUUUGAAGGCGCAUUUCUA